Brevibacillus sp. CF112 is the source of this 187-nucleotide non-coding RNA. The record is from Rfam. NCBI's taxonomy places the organism in Bacteria, Bacillati, Bacillota, Bacilli, Caryophanales, Paenibacillaceae.
AAGUGAGGUAGAGGCGCGAAAACCAAGAGUACCACCCUGAGAUCGGGUAUCUGUGAAGGGAGCGGGAAAGGGGAAUUCGCCGAAGUGUGGAGGAAAACCCGUAGUUCUCCAUGCUGGGUCUGCAUUGAACAAGUGCAGGACUGUCAUCUGGCUCUUAACCGGCGUCAGAUGGAGUGCUAUCUCACGG